GACGAACGCUGGCGGCGUGCCUAAUACAUGCAAGUAGAACGCUGAAGGAGGAGCUUGCUUCUCUGGAUGAGUUGCGAACGGGUGAGUAACGCGUAGGUAACCUGCCUGGUAGCGGGGGAUAACUAUUGGAAACGAUAGCUAAUACCGCAUAAGAGUAGAUGUUGCAUGACAUUUGCUUAAAAGGUGCAAUUGCAUCACUGCCAGAUGGACCUGCGUUGUAUUAGCUAGUUGGUGGGGUAACGGCUUACCAAGGCGACGAUACAUAGCCGACCUGAGAGGGUGAUCGGCCACACUGGGACUGAGACACGGCCCAGACUCCUACGGGAGGCAGCAGUAGGGAAUCUUCGGCAAUGGACGGAAGUCUGACCGAGCAACGCCGCGUGAGUGAAGAAGGUUUUCGGAUCGUAAAGCUCUGUUGUAAGAGAAGAACGAGUGUGAGAGUGGAAAGUUCACACUGUGACGGUAUCUUACCAGAAAGGGACGGCUAACUACGUG
Molecule: ribosomal RNA, 495 nt
Filed under: uncultured bacterium
Lineage: Bacteria
Description: partial 16S ribosomal RNA
Rfam family: Bacterial small subunit ribosomal RNA
Source: RNAcentral